UCUGGGCAGAAGAUCCUCCUGGGAUCCUCACUGGUGUGCCAGGAAGAAGCCUGCAGGACCUGCUGAGGAGCCUGGACUUAGCCUGGAGGAAUCAGAGCCUCUUGGAAUUGUCAGCGCUGGAAGGGACCCUGAGGAGCAUCCAGUUGCAAGCCCCCUGCCAGAGGCAGAGACUCCUCACCCUGGGUGUAGGUAUUGUCAUGGAAUCAACCAGGCUGGAAGAGACCUCCAAGCUCAGCCAGUCCAACCUAGCACCCAGUUCUGUGUACUGUGCUAAGCUGUAAAUAUAAAGCUUCAUUCCCA
This is a long non-coding RNA of Pogoniulus pusillus (Red-fronted tinkerbird), 300 nucleotides long. RefSeq lists it as uncharacterized. The record is from RefSeq and is a predicted model, not a curated record. The transcript is spliced from 3 exons. NCBI's taxonomy places the organism in Eukaryota, Metazoa, Chordata, Aves, Piciformes, Lybiidae.